CAGUGGCAUCAUCUCCCUCUCUCCUCACUUCCAAGCCAUUAGAAAUACAAGGGGAUUAAAGUUGCCAAAUCUUGGGUGGCAGACUGCCCUUUUGGAAGGACCUAUUGUUCCAAUCUAAUCUCGAAACAUAUUUUCCAGCCCCUGUUAAUACACUGUCAGUCAUGAAAAUGAACAACCUCUGGGCCAAGUUCUAUAUACUAUGGGGAAUCUCAGGUGGUCCUUCCUGGCUUCUAUUAAAUUUGCUCCCCAUCUCUGCUUCCUCAAGCCCAUUAGGAAGGGAGUUCAUCACAGCUUUCAUGCAGAACGGCUUGCCACGAAUGUUCAAGGGAGAUUUUAAACUACUCAUCACAGGCUAUGCUCCUGCCACAUCCAUUAAUGUCUCAAUGAAGCGGCCUGCAUUGAGGGUUGGGGUUAAGGUAAAUGCUGGCCAAACGGUAUCUGUGAAAAUCCCACCAGAGGCAGAGAUGGUUGGAAGUGGCAUUUUUGACAACACACUCACUGUCCGGGCCGACAAAGAUAUCUCCAUCCUCUCUCUUAACUACAAACCACACACAGCUGACACCACCGUUAUCUAUCCUGUGGUGAGCUUAGGUACGGAAUAUUAUGCCAUCACUCCAAAUGUGGGCACAGAUCGCUACAGAGAAGUUGCCAUCAUAGCAUGGGAAGAACCCACAUCUGUUGAUAUCUACCCGAAAGGAGCUGUUACUUUUCAAGGGAAAAACUACCUUCGAGGAAGCAAGUUGACUGUCACACUUCAGCCUUAUCAAGCUGUCCAGCUACAAAGCUCAGUAGACCUCUCUGGCACUAAGAUAGUUUCCCAAAAACCUGUGGCUGUCUACAGUGGGCACACCUGUGUUUCUCGGCAAGUCCAGUGUGACCAUGUUUUUGAACAACUUUUACCUGUUUCCAGUUGGGGUGCCAACUUCAUUGUUCCUUCUUUGCCCUUUAAUACAGAGCAUGACAUUGUGUAUGUUUCCACUUCCCAAAAUACUCGCGUUGAUGCUCAGACUGGGCAAAGCAAGAGCAGCCGGAAUUUGCCUGCUGCCCGGUCAGUGCUGUAUGGCAUUCAAGGUACAACUGCUAUGUCACUCUCAGCUAGUUCUGGCAUCCAGGUAAUGUUCUUUAAUGAUGGUGGCACCUACCAGAACUUUAAAUAUGAUCCCUUCUUCAUGGCAAUCCCAGACAUUUCUAGCUACUGUCAGGCCUACCACAUCUAUGGGCAUGACCAGUUUGACAACUAUGCGUUGAUCAUUGCCAAAUCUUCUGAAACUUCUGGGAUCACCUUGGAUAAAAGACCUUUGCAGGGUCUCCAAUGGAAUCUGGUUGCUGGUACUGAAUACUCCUGGGCUUCCCACAGCAUAGGCCAAGGUUAUACCGUUCACAUGAUGGAGCACCCUAGUACCCCCUUCGGGCUGCUAAGCGUUGGCAUUGGAAAUGAGAAAGCUUACGGCUCCCCUGCUAUUUGCGCCAAUGAUCCUUGCGCAGCACUUCAGUGCCGGCCAAAGGAGACAUGUGAGAUUCAGAAUGGCCAAGCAAAUUGUGUCCAUGAGUACAUGGGGACUUGUCAAGGCUUCACAACACAGUAUUUCCAGACGUUUGAUGGUCUCUUUGUGGACUUCGAAGACACUUGCACCUAUACUAUUGCAAAGUACUGUGGCAGUGAUCCUUUGCUUGUGCCAUUUUCAGUUGAAGCAAAGAACAGCAACAUGGACACCGAGGACUCCUCCAAGUUGCAGAUAACUCAUAUCAAAGUAUAUGGUCAUAACAUCACCGUAACAAAGGGAGAAGAUGUCCAACUUAUGUUGGAUGAUGUUGUGACCAGUAUUCCUGCAGCAUUGGAGGAUGGAAAAAUCAAAGUCACCAAAAGCAAUGAUCAGCCUGCUGUUGAGACAGAUUUUGGCCUUCAGGUGACACAUGGCAGGGAUGGGGCUAUAGUAGUGACUCUCCCUAGCAGUUACUUUGGAGCCACCUGUGGGCUCUGUGGGAAUUUCAAUGGGGAUACAAAUGAUGACAUGACUUCUCUUAAUGAUGUCCCAGCCUCUUCCCUCGUGGACUGGGUCAGCAGCUGGAAAGUCAAGGAUCAGGACCCUGCCUGCUCAGAUUCCUGCCAAGGAAACUGCUUGGCCUGUGAUGAUGGACAGAAGGAACUCUAUGGCGGUGAAAUGUAUUGUGGGGUUAUCAGCAAAUUUUCAGGAGGAUCUUUCGGAGAGUGUCGUCCAGCUGUGAGCCCUAACAGCUACUUCAAUGACUGCAUCAAUAGAAUGUGUUUAACCAAUGGAGACAGCAGUGAGCUUUGCCAGGUGAUGGAGGCAUAUGCUGCUGCCUGUGAAGAACAAGGUGUUGCCAUUGCUGACUGGAAAAUUAUAUCUGGCUGUGGGCCAGUUCAGCUUGAUCACCAGAGAAAUGAGACAUUCAUUGAAGCUCACAGCUGUCCUGAGAACAGCCACUACGAGGCCUGUGGAAAUGCAUGCCCAGCUACUUGCUCUGACCAGACUGCUCCCUCAACAUGUGACGAUACCUGUGUUGCCAUCUGCCAGUGCAAUGAGGGCUAUGUCCUCAAUGGCAAGACAUGCAUCCCCAUUGAGAACUGUGGCUGUACCUAUAACAACCUCCAUUACAAAGCUGGGGAAGAGUUCUGGGAGGAUGAGCACUGCCACGUCCGCUGCAAAUGUGAUGCCAGUCUGGGCAGAGUGACAUGUCAGAAGGCCAGUUGCAAAUCCAAUGAGAAGUGUGCCAUGGUUAAUGGUGUUCGUCGCUGCAAAGGAACGACUUAUUCCACUUGCAUAGGAACUGGUGAUCCUCACUACACUACCUUUGAUGGAAGGAAGUAUGACUUCCAGGGCACCUGCAUUUAUCAAAUGGCAGCAGUCUGUACCAAGGAUCCUGCCCUGACUCCAUUUUUGGUCACAGUAGAAAACAAUAACCGAGGCAGCAAGGCAGUGUCUUUCACCAAGGUGGUGACUUUGGAGGUCUAUGACAUGGUCAUCAGCCUGAGCCAGGAAUAUCCACGCAAAAUCCAGGUCAAUGGAGUCUUUGUAGACCUGCCAUUCUCUUAUGACAAUAAACUGAAGAUCUACAUAAGUGGGGUCCACGGCUUCAUUAAAACAGACUUUGAUCUGAGAGUCAGUUUUGACUGGUACAGCUAUGCCCGGGUCAUUAUUCCCAAUGCAUAUGCCAAUGCUAUGUGUGGACUCUGCGGCAAUGCCAACAUGAAUCCCAGUGAUGAUUUUACCAUGAAGGAUGGAACUCAAGCAGAGGAUGAAAUCCAAUUUGCAAACAACUGGAAGUUGAAGGAGGUUCCAGGAUGCUCAGAAGGAUGUACUAGUGACUGUCCAGUAUGCAAUGAGGCAGAGAAACAAACCUACAAGGGAGACCAGUUCUGUGGGAUCCUAAUCAGAAAAAAUGGGCCAUUCAGACAGUGUCAUCAGGCCAUUGAACCAACAUCCUAUUUCGAGGAUUGUGUCUUUGAUACCUGCACAUAUAAGGGUCACCAUGACACUCUCUGCAAUGCCAUCAGUGGCUAUGUGACAGCUUGCCAAGCUCAGGGCAUUCAGAUUGGACAGUGGAGAUCAUCUUCCUUUUGCAAUAUGCCCUGCCCACGUAAUUCGCACUAUGAACAGUGUGGAAAUGGUUGCCCUGCCACUUGCCAUGAUAGCUCAGCUCCAGAAACAUGUGAGGCUUCAUGUGUGGAAGGGUGUUUCUGUGACCCUGGAUUUCUCCUCAGUGGGGAUGACUGUGUCCCCCUUGCAGAGUGUGGCUGUGCCCACCAGGGCAGAUACUACAAAAAAGGAGAUGAAUUCUACCCCAACACUUCUUGCCAGGAGAAGUGCCAGUGCAAGGACAAUGGAGCUGUUGACUGCCAGACGUUCUCCUGUGGUGCUCAUGAGGAGUGCAGGGUUGAAAAUGGCAUACAGGGCUGCCACCCCGUUGGAUAUAGAAUAGCAGUAUUAUCUGGUGACAUUCAUUAUAUUUCCUUUGAUGGUCAAAGUCUUGAUUUCCAAGGCUCUUGCACCUAUACCUUAGCCAAAGUCUGUAGUGAAGAUCCUCGAUUAGUGAAAUUCUCUGUGGUGGUGGAGAAAGAGAAACCUGACGAUGGGCACUCACCUAUAACAAGAACAGUUAUGAUCUCUGUCCAUGGCUACUCUAUUGCCAUUGAAAGGGGGAUGAAAUGGAAGGCUAUGGUCGACGGAGAACUCCACACUUUGCCAAUGAAUACAGUGGAUGGGAAACUCUGGAUCACACAAGAGGGGAACAAUAUCAUUCUCCAUUCAUCUUUUGGCCUCAUUGUCCUUUAUGAUACUUCUUCAUAUGUCAGUGUGUCUGUCCCUAGCACCUACCAGGGACACAUGUGUGGACUUGGUGGCAACUUCAAUGGGGAUAAGAGUGAUGACUUCAUGCUACCCAAUGGAGAACUCACUAAAAGUGUGGAGGAACUUGGGACCUCCUGGAAAGUCCCUGUAGAUGGUGCAAUUUGUUCUGACACCUGUGGAGAUAGAUGCCCCACCUGCAACACAGCACAGGCAGUUCCAUUUAGGGCUGAAAAUGCAUGUGGAAUGAUCCAGUCUGAGACAGGUCCAUUCAGAGAUUGUCACCCAUUGGUGAGCCCUGAUGACUACUUGAGACAUUGCCUGUUUGACAUGUGUGUCUCCAGUGGAGCAGAGGAAACCCUAUGUCAUAGCCUUCAAGCCUAUGCAGCUGCAUGCCAACUGGCUGGAGUCAAUAUUGGAGCAUGGAGAACACCCUCCUUCUGCUCCCUCUCCUGCCCAGUCAACAGCCAUUAUGAAUUAUGCACAAGAUCCUGUGAUUUUACAUGUGCUGCCUUAUCUGCUCCAUCUCAAUGUACUGGAAAAUGCUUUGAAGGCUGCCAGUGCGACACUGGCUAUGUGUUUGAUGGAGAGGAAUGUGUGUCCAUGGACAACUGUGGCUGUGCUUAUGACGGACACUACAUCAAGGCUGGAGAGGCCAUCAUCUCCAGUGACUGCUCAGAGAAAUGCACAUGUCGCCCCUCAGGCCAACUCACUUGUGAAAAAACCAGCUGCGCUGUGGGAGAGACCUGUGCACUUAUAGCUAAGACACGUGGCUGUGUAAGACAAGAAGGCCACUGCACGCUCACACCAGGAGCCUGGUUCACGUCUUUUGAUGGUGCCAAAGGAAAAUUCCUCUCUAAUGGUGUCUACAAGUUGGCCUCCUACUGUGAUGAGAUGUCGCCAUCCUGGUUUAAGGUUGUGGUAGAUAUCAAUGAAUGCAAUAAUGAAGCUGUGCCAGCAGUUGCAGCUGUCUAUGUCUUUUUCCGGGAAGCGUUCAUCACAGUGACAAGCCACAAGGAGACCUGGGUCAACGGACUCUUGGUCCAGCUCCCACUGAACAUCUCCAAAGCAGUGUCCCUCACUGAGUCUCAGGACACGGUUAUCAUUGAUCAAAAUUCCAAGAUGCAAGUUCUUUUCAGUCCCAAUGGUAAAGUGACAGUGAAAGUCACCAAUAGCCUGGCAGGAAAGAUGUGUGCGCCUUGUGGAAACUUCAACAAUGAUAUCUCAGAUGACCUAAGGCUGCCAAGUGGUCAGAUUGCUAGUGGGAUUGCUGAGGUCAUUAAUGCCUGGAAGGCAAGGGACUUCUUCGAUUGGUGCGGUGGAAGACACUGUCCCAAUAACAGUGUUGAAGAAAGUGCCAACAACCACUCCAGUCAUCUUUUGUAUAUGGAAUGGGAGAGAUCACUCUCUUGUUCUUCACCUCAGACAGCAACAUUUCAUGGGCCAGCUAUGUGCACUCUGCUCCCUUUACUAUUCAUAGCUGGGUUGAAUCACUUUGUGCCCACUUCCUUUAUGUAUUAAGCAGCUACAACAAUUUUUCUUAUCCCCCUCCUCAUAUUUUCCAACUGGAAAACAACACUACAAAGUCUCAAAUACACCAGUACCUCAAGAGGCCACCACAUGUAGCACAUACCUUGAGAACCAGUAUUACAUGUCAUUUCUCCUCUGUUCACCUCCACAGUUAUUGAUACCCAGAGGACAAGAUGCUACUCAGUGUCAUGCGUUAUCUAAAAAUCCAGUCUGGAAUCAUGCACUGGACCACACAAUGCUGCAAGUGUUUCUCCCUCCUUUAAUCACUCCACAGUCCAUCAUUCCACUGUAUCAGAUCAUAGAUAUUGUGACAGCCAAGAAUGGAACCGCCAUAUGUAGAAGCAGUGUACUUGAGCUUCCAGACAAUUGUGAGGAUGGUUGUCAUCUUAUUGCUCUGCCUGUGGACUUCUCACAGGCAACUGGAAGUUCUCCAUGGGAGUUCAUUUAUUCGAAUACAUGUACCUUUGGUCUGAUGAAGCAGUAUCCUAGGAUGUUAAACUGAAUUUUGAUGGGAGUUUACAUCUAAACCUUUGGCAAUUUGUGGUUUUCUAGCACACUGGCAAAUCAGAAUGUCUAAAAGCUAUUGCUUCCAACACAAAGUAUUGUAAAUUAUUAAUGAAGAAAUAAAUGCUUAGACCACC
RNA transcript from Sceloporus undulatus (fence lizard), 6478 nucleotides. It is a transcript of the gene named IgGFc-binding protein-like, with no coding region annotated. NCBI's taxonomy places the organism in Eukaryota, Metazoa, Chordata, Lepidosauria, Squamata, Phrynosomatidae. The transcript is spliced from 14 exons. The record is from RefSeq and is a predicted model, not a curated record.